UACGUAGGGUGCAAGCGUUGUCCGGAAUUAUUGGGCGUAAAGAGCUCGUAGGCGGUCUGUCGCGUCGGCUGUGAAAACCCGAGGCUCAACCUCGGGCCUGCAGUCGAUACGGGCAAACUAGAGUACUGCAGGGGAGACUGGAAUUCCUGGUGUAGCGGUGAAAUGCGCAGAUAUCAGGAGGAACACCGGUGGCGAAGGCGGGUCUCUGGGACGGUACUGACGCUGAGACGCGAAAGCGUGGGGAGCGAACAGG
RNAcentral lists this ribosomal RNA (253 nucleotides) under uncultured bacterium. Its description in RNAcentral is "partial 16S ribosomal RNA". It matches the Rfam family "Bacterial small subunit ribosomal RNA", at positions 524 to 776 of the family's 1533-position model. The record is from RNAcentral.